RNAcentral lists this ribosomal RNA (120 nucleotides) under Calothrix sp. SM1_7_51. Lineage: Bacteria; Bacillati; Cyanobacteriota; Cyanophyceae; Nostocales; Calotrichaceae. The record is from RNAcentral.
CCUGGUGUCUAUGGCGCCGGUGGAACCACUCUCGAUCCCAUCCCGAACUCAGUUGUGAAACGCUGCUGCGGCUACGAUAGUUGGAGGGUUGCCUCCCGCAACAAUUGCUCGGUGCCAGGG